Molecule: transfer RNA, 73 nt
Filed under: Stegodyphus mimosarum
Lineage: Eukaryota; Metazoa; Arthropoda; Arachnida; Araneae; Eresidae
Rfam family: tRNA
About the family: Transfer RNA (tRNA) molecules are approximately 80 nucleotides in length. Their secondary structure includes four short double-helical elements and three loops (D, anti-codon, and T loops).
Source: Rfam by way of RNAcentral
GCCUUCGUAGUGUAGUGGUCAGCAUGCUGGGCGCGUAUUCCAGAGGUCCGUGGUUCGAUUCCCAGGGAAGGCG